This 562-nucleotide ribosomal RNA is filed under the name uncultured bacterium. Its description in RNAcentral is "bacterial SSU rRNA". It matches the Rfam family "Bacterial small subunit ribosomal RNA", at positions 772 to 1326 of the family's 1533-position model. The record is from RNAcentral.
ACAGGAUUAGAUACCGUGGUAGUCCACGCCUUAAACGUUGAAUACUAGAUGUUUGGUGCCCAAGCGUACUGAGUGUCGUAGCUAACGCCGAUAAGUAUUCCGCCUGGGGAAGUACGGCCGCAAGGUUAAAACUCCAAAGGAAUUGACGGGGGCCCGCACAAGCGGUGGAGCAUGUGGUUUAAAUUUCGAUGCAACGCGAAGAACCUUACCUGGGCUUGACAUGUCUGGAAUCCUGCAGAGAUGCGGGAGUGCCCUUCGGGGAAUCAGAACACAGGUGCUGCAUGGCUGUCGUCAGCUCGUGUCGUGAGAUGUUGGGUUAAGUCCCGCAACGAGCGCAACCCUUGUCCUUAGUUGCCAGCGGUUCGGCCGGGCACUCUAGGGAGACUGCCGGUGACAAACCGGAGGAAGGUGGGGAUGACGUCAAGUCCUCAUGGCCUUUAUGUCCAGGGCUACACACGUGCUACAAUGGCGCGUACAGAGGGAAGCCAAGCCGCGAGGUGGAGCAGACCCCAGAAAGCGCGUCGUAGUUCGGAUUGCAGUCUGCAACUCGACUGCAUGAAGU